This 269-nucleotide ribosomal RNA is filed under the name uncultured Planctomycetales bacterium. RNAcentral describes it as "partial 16S ribosomal RNA". It matches the Rfam family "Bacterial small subunit ribosomal RNA", at positions 565 to 832 of the family's 1533-position model. Lineage: Bacteria; Pseudomonadati; Planctomycetota; Planctomycetia; Planctomycetales. The record is from RNAcentral.
GAGCACGUAGGUGGGUUUGUAAGUCAGAUGUGAAAGCCUUCUGUUCAACGGAAGAAUUGCAUCUGAAACUACAAACCUUGAGUAUAGGAGGGGAGAAUGGAACUUCUGGUGGAGCGGUGAAAUGCGUAGAUAUCAGAAGGAACGCCGGCGGCGAAAGCGAUUCUCUGGCCUAUUACUGACACUCAGUGUGCGUAAGCUAGGGGAGCAAACGGGAUUAGAUACCCCGGUAGUCCUAGCCGUAAACGAUGGGCACUAAGUAGAGGGGUUUU